AGCUUGCUUUUGAUGCUGGCGACCGGCGCACGGGUGAGUAACGCGUAUCCAACCUUCCCUAUAGUAGAGAAUAGCCCGGCGAAAGUCGGAUUAAUGCUCUAUGUUGUAUUUAGAAGACAUCUGAAGAAUACCAAAGGUUUACCGCUAUAGGAUGGGGAUGCGUCUGAUUAGGUAGUAGGCGGGGUAACGGCCCACCUAGCCGACGAUCAGUAGGGGUUCUGAGAGGAAGGUCCCCCACAUUGGAACUGAGACACGGUCCAAACUCCUACGGGAGGCAGCAGUGAGGAAUAUUGGUCAAUGGACGGAAGUCUGAACCAGCCAAGUAGCGUGCACGAUGACGGCCCUAUGGGUUGUAAACUGCUUUUAUAUAGGGAUAAAGUCGGGGACGUGUCCCCGUUUGUAGGUACUAUAUGAAUAAGGACCGGCUAAUUCCCGUGCCCGCAGCCGCGGUAAUACGGAAGGUCCAGGGCGUUUUCCCGGAUUUAUUGGGUUUAAAGGGAGCGCAGGCUGAUGAUUAAGCGUGACGUGAAAUGU
Molecule: ribosomal RNA, 534 nt
Filed under: uncultured bacterium
Lineage: Bacteria
Description: bacterial SSU rRNA
Rfam family: Bacterial small subunit ribosomal RNA
Source: RNAcentral